UACAGAGGGGGCAAGCGUUAUUCGGAAUUAUUGGGCGUAAAGGGCGCGUAGGCGGCCUGGCAAGUGGAAGGUGAAAUCCCUCGGCUUAACCGAGGAACUGCCUUCCAAACUGCUUGGCUUGAGUCCGGGAGGUGAGUGGAAUUCCCAGUGUAGCGGUGAAAUGCGUAGAUAUUGGGAUGAACACCAGUGGCGAAGGCGGCUCACUGGACCGGAACUGACGCUGAUGCGCGAAAGCGUGGGGAGCAAACGGG
Molecule: ribosomal RNA, 251 nt
Filed under: uncultured bacterium
Lineage: Bacteria
Description: partial 16S ribosomal RNA
Rfam family: Bacterial small subunit ribosomal RNA
Source: RNAcentral